RNAcentral lists this long non-coding RNA (660 nucleotides) under Setaria viridis. Its description in RNAcentral is "long non-coding RNA (SVIR_LNC004213)". The record is from RNAcentral. Lineage: Eukaryota; Viridiplantae; Streptophyta; Magnoliopsida; Poales; Poaceae.
CAAAACCAAAGCCAGAGCCAAAACCAAAACAAAAACACCCAAAGAGGAGGCCACUCUGGUAGAGGACGAGGUCGAGGAAGACAACAGAAAUCAUUCUACUGCGUCAACCAUGGCCACCAGAACCAUCAUAAUACAGAGUGGUGCCCCAAAAAGAAAGAAGAAGAGAGAAAGGCUGCAGAAGAAGCCGCGAAAGCAGCCGCACAAGCACCCAAAACAAUCCACCACACAAUUUUUUACCCGCACCCAAGUUUUUACCCCAACCAGCCUAGCUUCGCCAAUUUCCAGCAACCAAUGACCUAGCCUCUUCCGCCGUAGAUACAACCGUACCACCAAAGAAUCCCGCAACAAGCCAGCCCAAAUCCACCUCAGAAGCCUCAAGAAACACUACCUCCACCCCCAAGCAUCCCAGCCAUAAUGCCCAAACCAGAGCCAAGCACGCAAAACAACAACCAAAAUUCCUUACCUACCUUUGGCAUGAUAAUGCCAAUCAUCGGGGGCUCCUCUUUAGAGUUCGAGAACAAAAGGUAGAGGCGAAACUAUUUUACAGAAGUCAAUGUAAUCAUACCCGACGAACCCCCAACGAAGCCAGAAUGGGCACACAUGCCCAUAACCUUCACAGGGGAAGACUUCAAGCUCAAGACAACCUCGCACAACGAUGCG